Molecule: ribosomal RNA, 1300 nt
Filed under: Myroides odoratimimus
Lineage: Bacteria; Pseudomonadati; Bacteroidota; Flavobacteriia; Flavobacteriales; Flavobacteriaceae
Description: partial 23S ribosomal RNA
Rfam family: Bacterial large subunit ribosomal RNA
Source: RNAcentral
GUGACGGCGUGCCUUUUGCAUAAUGAGCCUACGAGUUACCGUUGCUGGCAAGGAUAAGUGAUUAAGUCAUGGAUCCGUAGCGAAAGCGAGUCUUAAUAGGGCGCUUAAGUCAGUAGUGGUAGACGCGAAACCGUGUGAUCUACCCAUGGGCAGGUUGAAGUUUAGGUAACACUAAAUGGAGGACCGAACCGUUUAACGCUGAAAAGUUUUCGGAUGACCUGUGGGUAGGGGUGAAAGGCCAAUCAAACUCGGAAAUAGCUCGUACUCCCCGAAAUGCAUUUAGGUGCAGCGAUGAUCGAUAGUUACUUAGAGGUAGAGCUACUGAUUGGAUGCGGGGGCUUCACCGCCUACCAAUUCCUGACAAACUCCGAAUGCUAAGUAAUGAUAAUCAUCAGUGAGGGCAUGGGUGCUAAGGUCCAUGUCCGAGAGGGAAAGAACCCAGACCAUCAGCUAAGGUCCCCAAAUGUAUGCUAAGUUGAAAAAACGCGGUUUGAUUGCCCAGACAGCUAGGAUGUUGGCUUGGAAGCAGCCAUUCAUUUAAAGAGUGCGUAACAGCUCACUAGUCGAGCGAUCGAGCAUGGAUAAUAAUCGGGCAUAAGUAUACUACCGAAGCUAUGGAUUUGCGCAUUUAGUUGCGUGAGUGGUAGGGGAGCAUUCUAACGGCGCAGAAGGUGAUUUGUGAGAAUUGCUGGAGCUUUUAGAAAAGAAAAUGUAGGCAUAAGUAACGAUAAGGGGUGCGAGAAACACCCCCGCCGUAAGACUAAGGUUUCCUCAGCUAUGCUAAUCAGCUGAGGGUUAGUCGGGACCUAAGGCACACCCGAAGGGGGACGUCGAUGGCCAACGGGUUAAUAUUCCCGUACUACUGAUAAUUGUGAUGGAGUGACACAGUGAUGAAAGCACCGCGAACUGACGGAAUAGUUCGUUGAAGCACGUACCUAUAGGUUUGAUAGUAAAAUGCGUCAGACUUGGAGAAAUGCGAUAGUACUUUGAGUCUUCGGACAACGAGAUAGUGUGCCUAAGGGCUGUCAAGAAAAGCUUCUAAACUUAGAUUAUUAGUACCCGUACCGUAAACCGACACAGGUAGUCGAGGAGAGUAUCCUAAGGCGCUCGAGAGAUUCAUGGCUAAGGAACUAGGCAAAAUAGACCUGUAACUUCGGGAGAAAGGUCGCCAGCGCAAGCUGGCCGCAGUGAAAAGGUCCAGGCGACUGUUUAUCAAAAACACAGGGCUCUGCAAAAUCGUAAGAUGACGUAUAGGGCCUGACACCUGCCCGGUGCUGGAAGGUUAAGAGGAGAUGUUAUC